Portunus trituberculatus (swimming crab) is the source of this 1725-nucleotide long non-coding RNA. RefSeq lists it as uncharacterized. The record is from RefSeq and is a predicted model, not a curated record. The transcript has 4 exons. Lineage: Eukaryota; Metazoa; Arthropoda; Malacostraca; Decapoda; Portunidae.
GAAUAAACGAGAAAUAGAGGCGGAAUAGGAGAAGGAGCUAAGAUGUUUGUCGGGUUCCUGAAGAUGCGUCGACGUGUUAUCAUCCACGCAAGCUUCCCCAACCCAGCCAGUGUACCACAGGACGGGAGGAGGAAGCCAGCGGCUGCAUGCACCAUUGAACAGGACGGCAUUGUAUUCCUCCCACAGGAGUGACUACAGCGAAGCAAGCCCAGAAUAAAGUGUUGAGUGACCGUGAUGAUUCAGUACUACUAACACCAAACAAGUGAGGGAAGUGUUCGGAGUGAACGUGCAAGACAUACAACAGACACCAGACUGCUGCCGCUGCUGCUACUGCCGGUGUAGCCAAAGGAACAAAAGGUCCGGAGCAAGAGGAAGAAAUGGGUGAUUCUUGGAAACGCACCAAUGAAGUUGUGAAGAUGUCUCCGGUGUGUCGCCUAGUGCGUUCCCUUGUCCUGCUCGAGAGAGAGAGAGAGAGAGAGAGCGAUUCGGAUCACCACCGCGUCGAGCUGCCUGCCCACCUCCCUCCAUUGUCCUUCCCCUCUCACUUGAGUAUUGUGAACGUUGUAUUUAUUUUCAUCACGCCUCUGUGUUUGUAAAGGGAGAGUGUUCCAAUAAGUGAGCUCUGUUUGCAGUCACAUGUGUAUUUCAAAGGUGUUUUGCCAAGUGCUGUGCUGAGGUGUUGUGGUGUAUCUGUCUAUACGGUGUUCGAGCUAGCUUUCGCCCAUGUUUGUGACGCUACCUUCCGUACUGCAUUUAAUGUCUGUGGAUUUCCCGUUUUUACCCACUCUCCUGAUAAACCUUAAAAGCGUGGUUAUGUUGGUUCAGUGUACAUUUCCCUCGUGUAACGGAGUGGUAAGUCAACCUCCCUCCACGUACAACAGUGUCGGGAAUCAUUUCCCCCGUGUCACGGUGUCAUGGGAUAUUUUCUCUUAUAUUUGUUUGCUUGUGGGCUAAUGAUACGUGUAGUGUGGCAUACUGGUGAGUGAAGCUGCAUAACUCUCUACUCUCCAUCGUGGAUCUGUUUCCCCAUGAUUAUUACUCUUGUAUGGGUUAUCAUUGGUGCUUGUUAGUGAAGCUAUCUUUGCUUAAUAUAUGUACUAUUUUUUGAGUCGUGUUUAAAAUUCCUUCCCCUUUGAUUUCUGGCACGUCCGAGUUGGGUUAGACCUUAAGUCAGAUGCGAAUGUGAAUUUCUCUUUGAACUCGGGUGUAACUAUGUAUAUCGUAUUUAAAAGAGAUAAUUGUAUAUAUGUAGACCAAGAGAGGAAAGUAACCUCUUGGGAUACGAGUCACUCAUCAUUCGUGUCACCCAUCAUGAUCGUUUAUGCCUUAAGAACCAAAUGACCAACGUGUUCACUCCAUGCUGGAGUUCACCAUGGAGAAACACGUAGUGAAUGAAGAUAACGUUCCUUGUUAGGAGACGCCAUCUUCUUAAGAGAGGGAGUGUAGCCUAGCGAGCAUACUGGCUGUGCGUCUCGGUGUGUCUUGUUGCCAGGCCAUCACAGUAAUUAGUACCAAUUAGUAGUAUUUAAGGUAGUAGUAGUAGUAGUAGUAGUAGUGGUUGUCACUCACACUAUUGCAAGGUGUGAUGUACACAUACAUGGCUAUGUCUGUAGUGGUCACAACAACCUGUUCCUUCUUGUGUGUGUGUGUGUGUGUGUGUGUGUGUCUCCAAGAUAGACCACAAAAGUGUCUUUUUUUGUUUUCUGGGGUGAAGCACAAAGGUAU